UUGUUUUUAUUUUUUCACUUUUGCUCUCUCCCUCUCUCAAGCAUCGGCCGCUCACCAAAUUCCCAAAUCAAACGAAACUCCGGCAACCGCCCUGGUGUCGAUUUGCCUUCGACGCAUGAAAGUCAUUUAAAGGCCUAAGGAAACUCGACCCUUUGGUUUCUCCUAGCCCCGAUUACUCCGGCGACGAGAGAAUCCCAACUCAACUACGAUCAGAGAGAUGGCGUUGGCAUAGAGCAUGGCUUGCUGGCACUGUCGGGCAUGUCUUGAGACAGGGUGUGGCAGCAAUCGGGCAUUAAGUGCGUCGAUUUGUAGGGAUUUUAUCCCUUUUGUUUGACUCUUUUUUAAUUAAAUAAUAAUAAUUAAAUAUAUGUAGAAAAAAAUUGGUGA
Hibiscus syriacus is the source of this 387-nucleotide long non-coding RNA. RefSeq lists it as uncharacterized. The transcript is spliced from 2 exons. The record is from RefSeq and is a predicted model, not a curated record. Lineage: Eukaryota; Viridiplantae; Streptophyta; Magnoliopsida; Malvales; Malvaceae.